This 305-nucleotide ribosomal RNA is filed under the name uncultured bacterium. RNAcentral describes it as "bacterial SSU rRNA". It matches the Rfam family "Bacterial small subunit ribosomal RNA", at positions 336 to 638 of the family's 1533-position model. The record is from RNAcentral.
UUCCUACGGGGGGCAGCAGUGAGGAAUAUUGGUCAAUGGGCUUACGCCUGAACCAGCCAAGUCGCGUGAGGGAAGACUGCCCUAUGGGUUGUAAACCUCUUUUGUCAGGGAGCAACGCCGGCUACGUGUAGCCGGACUGAGAGUACCUGAAGAAAAAGCAUCGGCUAACUCCGUGCCAGCAGCCGCGGUAAUACGGAGGAUGCGAGCGUUAUCCGGAUUUAUUGGGUUUAAAGGGUGCGUAGGCGGGACCUUAAGUCAGCGGUAAAAUUGCGGUGCUCAACGCCGUAGAGCCGUUGAAACUGGGG